GCCUGGGUGGCUCAGUUGGUUGAGCGUCCGACUUUGGCUCAGGUCAUGAUCUCACAGUUUGUGGGUUCGAGCCCCACAUUGGGCU
This 85-nucleotide transfer RNA is filed under the name Felis catus (domestic cat). It matches the Rfam family "tRNA". From Rfam's summary of the family: Transfer RNA (tRNA) molecules are approximately 80 nucleotides in length. Lineage: Eukaryota; Metazoa; Chordata; Mammalia; Carnivora; Felidae. The record is from Rfam by way of RNAcentral.